CCCUUAGAUGUUCUGGGCCGCACACGCGCUACACUGAUGCAUUCAACAAGUUUUACCUUGGCCGAGAGGCCUGGGAAAUCUUUCAAAUAUGUAUCGUGAUAGGGAUAGAUUAUUGCAAUUAUUAAUCUUGAACGAGGAAUUCCUAGUAAAUGCAGAUCAUCAUUCUGCGUUGAUUACGUCCCUGCCCUUUGUACACACCGCCCGUCGCACCUACCGAUUGAAUGAUCCGGUGAAGCCUCGGGAUUGUGCCCAGAGAACUUUAUUGUGAUUUGGGUGUGAGAACUUGUCUAAACCUUAUCAUUUAGAGGAAGGUGAAGUCGUAACA
Molecule: ribosomal RNA, 325 nt
Filed under: uncultured eukaryote
Lineage: Eukaryota
Description: partial 18S ribosomal RNA
Rfam family: Eukaryotic small subunit ribosomal RNA
Source: RNAcentral